CGGGAAACCGGAGCUAAUACGAUAAUAUUUGAACCGCAUGGUUCAAAGUGAAAGACGGUCUUGCUGUCACUUAUAGAUGGAUCCGCGCUGCAUUAGCUAGUUGGUAAGGUAACGGCUUACCAAGGCAACAAUGCAUAGCCGACCUGAGAGGGUGAUCGGCCACACUGGAACUGAGACACGGUCCAGACUCCUACGGGAGGCAGCAGUA
RNAcentral lists this ribosomal RNA (208 nucleotides) under uncultured Staphylococcus sp. RNAcentral describes it as "partial 16S ribosomal RNA". It matches the Rfam family "Bacterial small subunit ribosomal RNA", at positions 150 to 355 of the family's 1533-position model. Lineage: Bacteria; Bacillati; Bacillota; Bacilli; Caryophanales; Staphylococcaceae. The record is from RNAcentral.